RNAcentral lists this ribosomal RNA (368 nucleotides) under Centipeda dianae. RNAcentral's name for it is "bacterial SSU rRNA". It matches the Rfam family "Bacterial small subunit ribosomal RNA", at positions 129 to 475 of the family's 1533-position model. The record is from RNAcentral. Lineage: Bacteria; Bacillati; Bacillota; Negativicutes; Selenomonadales; Selenomonadaceae.
CCGACAGGAUGGGGACAACAUUCCGAAAGGAAUGCUAAUACCGAAUGAAGCGGAGGAGAGGCAUCUCUCUUCCGUGAAAGAUGGCCUCUGAACAUGCUAUCACCUGUCGAUGGGUCUGCGUCUGAUUAGCUGGUUGGUGAGGUAACGGCUCACCAAGGCGACGAUCAGUAGCCGGUCUGAGAGGAUGAACGGCCACAUUGGGACUGAGACACGGCCCAGACUCCUACGGGAGGCAGCAGUGGGGAAUCUUCCGCAAUGGGCGCAAGCCUGACGGAGCAACGCCGCGUGAGUGAAGAAGGUCUUCGGAUCGUAAAGCUCUGUUGACGGGGACGAACGUGCGAGAGGUGAAUAAACUCUUGCAAUGAGCG